Molecule: ribosomal RNA, 497 nt
Filed under: uncultured bacterium
Lineage: Bacteria
Description: partial 16S ribosomal RNA
Rfam family: Bacterial small subunit ribosomal RNA
Source: RNAcentral
GAUGAACGCUGGCGGCGUGCCUAAUACAUGCCAGUCGAGCGAACAGACGAGGAGCUUGCUCCUCUGACGUUAGCGGCGGACGGGUGAGUAACACGUGGAUAACCUACCUAUAAGACUGGGAUAACUUCGGGAAACCGGAGCUAAUACCGGAUAAUAUAUUGAACCGCAUGGUUCAAUAGUGAAAGACGGUUUUGCUGUCACUUAUAGAUGGAUCCGCGCCGCAUUAGCUAGUUGGUAAGGUAACGGCUUACCAAGGCAACGAUGCGUAGCCGACCUGAGAGGGUGAUCGGCCACACUGGAACGGAGACACGGUCCAGACUCCUACGGGAGGCAGCAGUAGGGAAUCUUCCGCAAUGGGCGAAAGCCUGACGGAGCAACGCCGCGUGAGUGAUGAAGGUCUUCGGAUCGUAAAACUCUGUUAUUAGGGAAGAACAAAUGUGUAAGUAACUAUGCACGUCUUGACGGUACCUAAUCAGAAAGCCACGGCUAACUACGUG